Molecule: long non-coding RNA, 97 nt
Organism: Sapajus apella (tufted capuchin)
Lineage: Eukaryota; Metazoa; Chordata; Mammalia; Primates; Cebidae
Exons: 4
Source: RefSeq, a predicted model, not a curated record
CAGGAGACUGAGGCCUAGGCCGAAGCAGGGCUGUUGCUGCCAAGGACCGAAGGCAGGCUGGCCACCCAGAGGCUGCAGGAUCAAGUCUUUUUGAUAG